AACGUAGGACGCGAACGUUAUCCGGAGUUACUGGGCGUAAAGAGCGCGCGGGCGGUGUGCUAAGUUACCUAUGAAAGUUACUGGCUAAACUGGUAAUAGUUAGGUAAGACUGGCGUACUAGGGUAAAAUAGAGGGAAGUGGAAUUCCCGGUGUAGCGGUGAAAUGCGUAGAGAUCGGGAGGAAUACCAGUGGCGAAGGCGGCCUUCUGGACUGACACUGACACUGAGGUGCGAAAGCGUGGGUAGCAAACAGG
RNAcentral lists this ribosomal RNA (253 nucleotides) under uncultured bacterium. RNAcentral describes it as "partial 16S ribosomal RNA". It matches the Rfam family "Bacterial small subunit ribosomal RNA", at positions 524 to 776 of the family's 1533-position model. The record is from RNAcentral.